GACGAACGCUGGCGGCGUGCUUAACACAUGCAAGUCGAACGGGAUUUAGUAGACAGAAGCCUCGGCUAAAGAUUACUAAUGAGAGUGGCGAACGGGUGAGUAACGCGUGGGCAACCUGCCUAUGACAGUGGGAUAGCCUCGGGAAACCGGGAUUAAUACCGCAUAAAAUCGUAGAAACACAUGUUUCAACGGUCAAAGAUUUAUCGGUCAUAGAUGGGCUCGCGUCUGAUUAGCUAGUUGGUGAGAUAACAGCCCACCAAGGCGACGAUCAGUAGCCGGUCUGAGAGGAUGAACGGCCACAUUGGAACUGAGACACGGUCCAAACUCCUACGGGAGGCAGCAGUGGGGAAUAUUGCACAAUGGGGGAAACCCUGAUGCAGCGACGCCGCGUGAACGAAGAAGGUAUUCGUAUCGUAAAGUUCUGUCCUAUGGGAAGAUAAUGACAGUACCAUAGAAGAAAGCUCCGGCUAAAUACGUG
RNAcentral lists this ribosomal RNA (478 nucleotides) under uncultured bacterium. RNAcentral describes it as "partial 16S ribosomal RNA". It matches the Rfam family "Bacterial small subunit ribosomal RNA", at positions 28 to 507 of the family's 1533-position model. The record is from RNAcentral.